CCCUGUAUAAAAAGUGACAAUGGCAUGAUUGUUGCCAUUGUCAUUGAUAGUACAGGAACCAUGACUGAGAUUUUCCCAUGUUUGUUGGAAUACCAGUACCUGUCAAACCCUGUAUCUUUAAAAUA
Molecule: small nucleolar RNA, 125 nt
Organism: Salvelinus fontinalis (brook trout)
Lineage: Eukaryota; Metazoa; Chordata; Actinopteri; Salmoniformes; Salmonidae
Product: small nucleolar RNA SNORA71
Exons: 1
Source: RefSeq, a predicted model, not a curated record